This 463-nucleotide ribosomal RNA is filed under the name uncultured bacterium. RNAcentral's name for it is "bacterial SSU rRNA". It matches the Rfam family "Bacterial small subunit ribosomal RNA", at positions 29 to 525 of the family's 1533-position model. The record is from RNAcentral.
ACGAACGCUGGCGGCAGGCUUAACACAUGCAAGUCGAACGGCUGUAGCAAUACAGCAGUGGCAGACGGGUGAGUAACACGUGGGAACCUUCCUAGGGGUACGGAACAACUCAGGGAAACUUGAGCUAAUACCGUAUACGCCCCCGGACUUGAUCCGGGGGGAAAGAUUCAUCGCCCCUAGACGGGCCCGCGUCGGAUUAGGUAGUUGGUGGGGUAACGGCCUACCAAGCCUACGAUCCGUAGCUGAUCUGAGAGGAUGAUCAGCCACACUGGGACUGAGACACGGCCCAGACUCCUACGGGAGGCAGCAGUGGGGAAUCUUGGACAAUGGGCGCAAGCCUGAUCCAGCCAUGCCGCGUGAGUGAAGAAGGCCUUAGGGUUGUAAAGCUCUUUUACCAGGGACGAUAAUGACGGUACCUGGAGAAUAAGCCCCGGCAAACUUCGUGCCAGCAGCCGCGGUAAUU